AAAACUUUCAACAACGGAUCUCUUGGUUCUCGCAUCGAUGAAGAACGCAGCGAACUGCGAUACGCAAUGCGAAUUGCAGCUUCCGUGAAGCA
Molecule: ribosomal RNA, 92 nt
Filed under: uncultured Ascomycota
Lineage: Eukaryota; Fungi; Ascomycota
Description: 5.8S ribosomal RNA
Rfam family: 5.8S ribosomal RNA
About the family: 5.8S ribosomal RNA (5.8S rRNA) is a component of the large subunit of the eukaryotic ribosome. It is transcribed by RNA polymerase I as part of the 45S precursor that also contains 18S and 28S rRNA.
Source: RNAcentral